CACUCGGGAGGCUUAGGCAGGCAGAUCU
RNAcentral lists this non-coding RNA (28 nucleotides) under Cricetulus griseus (Chinese hamster). The record is from RNAcentral. Lineage: Eukaryota; Metazoa; Chordata; Mammalia; Rodentia; Cricetidae.